RNAcentral lists this ribosomal RNA (433 nucleotides) under uncultured bacterium. Its description in RNAcentral is "partial 16S ribosomal RNA". It matches the Rfam family "Bacterial small subunit ribosomal RNA", at positions 29 to 507 of the family's 1533-position model. The record is from RNAcentral.
AGCGAACGCUGGCGGCAGGCUUAACACAUGCAAGUCGAGCGGGCCUUUCGGGGUCAGCGGCGGACGGGUGAGUAACGCGUGGGAACGUGCCCUCUGGUUCGGAAUAACUCAGGGAAACUUGAGCUAAUACCGGAUACGCCCUUUUGGGGAAAGGCUUGCUGCCGGAGGAUCGGUCCGCGUCUGAUUAGCUAGUUGGUGAGGUAACGGCUCACCAAGGCGACGAUCAGUAGCUGGUCUGAGAGGAUGAUCAGCCACACUGGGACUGAGACACGGCCCAGACUCCUACGGGAGGCAGCAGUGGGGAAUAUUGGACAAUGGGCGCAAGCCUGAUCCAGCCAUGCCGCGUGAGUGAUGAAGGCCUUAGGGUUGUAAAGCUCUUUUAUCCGGGACGAUAAUGACGGUACCGGAGGAAUAAGCCCCGGCUAACUUCGUG